RNAcentral lists this ribosomal RNA (1483 nucleotides) under uncultured bacterium. RNAcentral describes it as "bacterial SSU rRNA". It matches the Rfam family "Bacterial small subunit ribosomal RNA". The record is from RNAcentral.
GACGAACGCUGGCGGCGUGCCUAAUACAUGCAAGUCGAACGCUUCUUUCCUCCUGAGUGCUUGCACUCAAUUGGAAAGAGGAGUGGCGGACGGGUGAGUAACACGUGGGUAACCUACCCAUCAGAGGGGGAUAACACUUGGAAACAGGUGCUAAUACCGCAUAACAGUUUAUGCCGCAUGGCAUAAGAGUGAAAGGCGCUUUCGGGUGUCGCUGAUGGAUGGACCCGCGGUGCAUUAGCUAGUUGGUGAGGUAACGGCUCACCAAGGCCACGAUGCAUAGCCGACCUGAGAGGGUGAUCGGCCACACUGGGACUGAGACACGGCCCAGACUCCUACGGGAGGCAGCAGUAGGGAAUCUUCGGCAAUGGACGAAAGUCUGACCGAGCAACGCCGCGUGAGUGAAGAAGGUUUUCGGAUCGUAAAACUCUGUUGUUAGAGAAGAACAAGGACGUUAGUAACUGAACGUCCCCUGACGGUAUCUAACCAGAAAGCCACGGCUAACUACGUGCCAGCAGCCGCGGUAAUACGUAGGUGGCAAGCGUUGUCCGGAUUUAUUGGGCGUAAAGCGAGCGCAGGCGGUUUCUUAAGUCUGAUGUGAAAGCCCCCGGCUCAACCGGGGAGGGUCAUUGGAAACUGGGAGACUUGAGUGCAGAAGAGGAGAGUGGAAUUCCAUGUGUAGCGGUGAAAUGCGUAGAUAUAUGGAGGAACACCAGUGGCGAAGGCGGCUCUCUGGUCUGUAACUGACGCUGAGGCUCGAAAGCGUGGGGAGCAAACAGGAUUAGAUACCCUGGUAGUCCACGCCGUAAACGAUGAGUGCUAAGUGUUGGAGGGUUUCCGCCCUUCAGUGCUGCAGCAAACGCAUUAAGCACUCCGCCUGGGGAGUACGACCGCAAGGUUGAAACUCAAAGGAAUUGACGGGGGCCCGCACAAGCGAUGGAGCAUGUGGUUUAAUUCGAAGCAACGCGAAGAACCUUACCAGGUCUUGACAUCCUUUGACCACUCUAGAGAUAGAGCUUUCCCUUCGGGGACAAAGUGACAGGUGGUGCAUGGUUGUCGUCAGCUCGUGUCGUGAGAUGUUGGGUUAAGUCCCGCAACGAGCGCAACUCUUAUUGUUAGUUGCCAUCAUUUAGUUGGGCACUCUAGCGAGACUGCCGGUGACAAACCGGAGGAAGGUGGGGAUGACGUCAAAUCAUCAUGCCCCUUAUGACCUGGGCUACACACGUGCUACAAUGGGAAGUACAACGAGUCGCUAGACCGCGAGGUCAUGCAAAUCUCUUAAAGCUUCUCUCAGUUCGGAUUGCAGGCUGCAACUCGCCUGCAUGAAGCCGGAAUCGCUAGUAAUCGCGGAUCAGCACGCCGCGGUGAAUACGUUCCCGGGCCAUGUACACACCGCCCGUCACACCACGAGAGUUUGUAACACCCGAAGUCGGUGAGGUAACCUUUUUGGAGCCAGCCGCCUAAGGUGGGAUAGAUGAUUGGGGUG